This 307-nucleotide ribosomal RNA is filed under the name Lenitovena trigona. RNAcentral's name for it is "partial 16S ribosomal RNA". Lineage: Eukaryota; Metazoa; Arthropoda; Insecta; Diptera; Tephritidae. The record is from RNAcentral.
CAUUAGUCUUUUAAUUGAAGGCUGGAAUGAAUGGUUGGACGAGGUAUAAACUGUUUCAUAUAAAUUUAUUAUAGAAUUUUAUUUUUUAGUUAAAAAGCUAAAAUUUUAUUAAAAGACGAGAAGACCCUAUAAAUCUUUAUAGUUUAUUUUUCUUAAGUUUUUUGGAUUAAUUUUAUUUUUGUAGAAUAAAUUAUUUUGUUGGGGUGAUGUUAAAAUUUAAAAAACUUUUAAAAUUUAAAAUCAUUAAUUUAUGAAUUAUUGAUCCGUUAAUAGCGAUUAUUAGAUUAAGUUACUUUAGGGAUAACAG